This 422-nucleotide ribosomal RNA is filed under the name uncultured bacterium. RNAcentral describes it as "bacterial SSU rRNA". It matches the Rfam family "Bacterial small subunit ribosomal RNA", at positions 355 to 774 of the family's 1533-position model. The record is from RNAcentral.
UGAGGAAUAUUGGGCAAUGCCCGCAAGGGUGACCCAGCAACGCCGCGUGGAGGAUGAAUGUCGUAAGAUUGUAAACUCCUGUUAGAGGGGAAGAAUAGUACCGGUUGGACCGGUAUAUGACUGUACCCUCAGAGAAAGCCCCGGCUAACUACGUGCCAGCAGCCGCGGUAAUACGUAGGGGGCAAGCGUUGUCCGGAUUUACUGGGUGUAAAGGGCGCGCAGGCGGGAUAAAAAGUCAGUGGUGAAAUCCUACAGCUUAACUGUAGAACUGCCUUUGAUACUUUCAUUCUUGAGUUCGGGAGAGAGAGACGGAAUUCCAGGUGUAGUGGUGAAAUACGUAGAUAUCUGGAAGAACACCAGUUGCGAAGGCGGUCUCUUGGUCCGAUACUGACGCUGAGGCGCGAAAGCGUGGGGAGCAAGCA